GGAAAUCUCGGCCCAAAAAAGGACGUUUAGUAAUUGUAAAAGGGACUACAGGAUGAAAAAUAAUAGUUUUGGCAGUUAAAGUUUGAGAUUCGAUGGUGCCGUAGAUCCGUUUGGUCAUCAGGUGCUACGAGCCACACCCAUGUCUAGCUAGAAUACUGUGUCAGGCUCAGGCUACAAACGAAACGGGGAACAAACCGAUGAAAGAAUUAUCAUACCGAGGGAAUUCACUCAGAGCUAACAAGAAUGAUAACGUGCUCCGAUUGGAGCGGUUUAGGAACUGCUGGUAGGAUCUAGGGGAAUAAAGAUGGAAUGACUUCUAAUUUUUAGGUCCGUAUGGUUUGAAAUACUUGGAAAGAAACCGCACGAAAGCGUUCAUAGAAAUCUCGGCCCAAAAAAGGACGUUUAGUAAUUCUAAAUGGGACUACAGGAUGAAAAACAACAGUUUUGGCAGUUAAAGUUUGAGAUUCGAUGGUGCUGUAGAUCCGUUUGGUCAUCAGGUGUUACGAGCCACACCCUUGUCUAGCUAGAAUAGUGUUGCAGGCUCAGGCUAGAGAAGAAACGGGGAACAAACUGAUGAAAGAAUUAUCAUACCGAUGGAAUUCACUCAGAACUAACAAGAAUGAUAACGUGCUCCGACUUGAGCGGUUUAGGAAUUGCUGGAAGGCUCUAGGGGAAUAAAGAUGGAAUGACUUCUAAUUUUUAGGUCCGUAUGGUUUGAAAUACUUGGACACAAACCACACGAAAGCGUUCAUGGAAAUCUCGGCCCAAAAAAGGACGUUUAGUAAUUCUAAAUGGGACCACAGGAUGAAAAACAAUAGUUUUGGCAGUUAAAGUUUGAUAUUCGAUGGUGCCGUAGAUCCGUUUGGUCAUCAGGUGUUAUGAGCCACACCCAUGUCUAGCUAGAAUAGUGUGUCAGGCUCAGGCUAGAGAAGAAACGGGGAACAAACUGAUGAAAGAAUUAUCAUACUGAGUGAAUUCACUCAGAACUAACAAGAAUGAUAACAUGCUCCGACUUGAGCGGUUUAGGAAUUGCUGGAAGGCUCUAGGGGAAUAAAGAUGGAAUGACUUCUAAUUUUUAGGUCCAUAUGGUUUGAUAUACUUGCACACAAACCGCACGAAAGCGUUCCUGGAAAUCUCGGCCCAAAAAAGCACAUUUAGUAAUUCUAAAUGGGACUACAGGAUGAAAAACAAUAGUUUUGGCAGUUAAAGUUUGAGAUUCGAUGGUGCAUUAGAUCUGUUUGGUCAUCAGGUGUUACGAGCCACACCCAUGUCUAGCUAGAAUAGUGUGCCAGGCUCAGGCUAGAGAAGAAACGGGGUACAAACUGAUGAAAGAAUUAUCAUACCGAGGGAAUUCACUCAAAACUAACAAGAAUGAUAACGUGCUCCGACUGGAGCGGUUUAGGAACUGCUCGAAGGCUAUAGGGGAAUAAAGAUGGAAUGACUUCUAAUUUUUAGGUUCGUAUGGUUUGAAAUACUUGCACACAAACCGCACGAAAGCGUUCCUAGAAAUCUCGGCCCAAAAAAGGACGUUUAGUAAUUCUAAAUGGGACUACAGAAUGAAAAACAAUAGUUUUGGCAGUUAAAGUUUGAGAUUUGAUGGUGCCGUAGAUCCGUUUGGUCAUUAGGUGUUACAAGCCACACCCAUGUCUAGCUAGAAUAGUGUGUCAUGCUCAGGCUAGAGAAGAAACGGGGAACAAACUGAUGAAAGAAUUAUCAUACCGAGGGAAUUCACUCAGAACUAACAAGAAUGAUAAUGUGCUCCGACUGGAGCGGUUUAGGAACUGCUGGAAGGCUCUAGGGGAAUAAAGAUGGAAUGACUUCUAAUUUUUAGGUCCGUAUGGUUUGAUACUUGCACACAAACCGCACGAAAGUGUUCCUGGAAAUCUCAGCCCAAAAAAGCACAUUUAGUAAUUCUAAAUGGGACUACAGGAUGAAAAACAAUAGUUUUGGCAGUUAAAG
Molecule: long non-coding RNA, 1959 nt
Filed under: Triticum aestivum (bread wheat)
Lineage: Eukaryota; Viridiplantae; Streptophyta; Magnoliopsida; Poales; Poaceae
Description: long non-coding RNA (TAES_LNC006939)
Source: RNAcentral